RNAcentral lists this long non-coding RNA (1104 nucleotides) under Triticum aestivum (bread wheat). RNAcentral describes it as "long non-coding RNA (TAES_LNC015917)". The record is from RNAcentral. Lineage: Eukaryota; Viridiplantae; Streptophyta; Magnoliopsida; Poales; Poaceae.
UUAUUUUAGUUUGAACUUUUUGGUUAUCAUUUUUCAAAAAUGGGAAAAUCCACGGGAUUUUUUUAGUACAACGAUAACAUUUUCUUUGAACUCUCAUGUCCCUGAUUACUUCGUCGAUUUUUCUUGUGUUAGCUACGUUACAUCUUCUCGCUGCGAUUGUCUGACAAUGCAUGGUUUGUGCUCAGCGCAAUGUGAUGCCACAAACCAACCAUGGUCGUCGGACUUGUGAAGCUAGAUCACUACCUUUGAAACCAAACCUCGCGGAGUCAUUCUAGCACCUCCAGUCAACACCCUGAAGAGCAAAAAUGAUAUGGUGUCAUGCGUGUGUGCAAACCAAUGGAGAAUUCGGAACAACAAAAGGAAAAUUCAUGUCGAUCCAUACCUCCAUUGCUCCAUCUGGCACCCUAGAUCCUGAGAUGACCAAUACUAGUCGUCGUUCAUGUAGAUGGUCAUGUACCAAAUAUGCCGAAAAGCAAUCCCCAUGAGUACAGGUUAUAGAACUCGUAUGCCUCCUCCAGUGAGCCAAAUCGGGUAGAUAUGGUCGUCUGAAAAAGUAUGUAUUUGUUGAUCUGCUACAAUGGGAACACAUGAAUGGACAAAGCAAAAAUUCAGAAAAAUGAUCAACAAUGGGAAGAACACAAACAUCGGCUACAGCCUCCCCCUCUCCGUUGCAGGUAGCAGCAACUUGGAGAAGAUACAAACAUGAAGGUCGAGCUUUGGCCUCGGACAGGUCGCUGAUUAGGCCUCAGCAGUUCGUCGACGGCGCGAGAUGAGUGGCCAUGGCGGUGGGAUCCGGCAGUUGCAGCCCGAGCUUUCUCGGGCGACCUGCUAUUGCACGGGUUGUUCUCCGACUGUGGCAUUGCGCGGGGACGUGGGCCUUCCAGCGAAGCACAUGAAGAAGCAGGGGAAGCCGCCAUCGAGCUUUCUUGCAGGGGCUGCAAUGGCUUGACCGAUCCACCAGCUUGCUAGGUCGCGGGAACCGACAGUGAGGCAGCAUCCAACACGUGCUCCGGCUUAUCUGGCCGGGGUAUGUUGUUGCCGGCGCGACAGGGUGGGAGAACAACAUCAGCAGGGAGGAGGUAGGAGAUCCAUCUCGCGGCAGAG